This 26-nucleotide non-coding RNA is filed under the name Mus musculus (house mouse). Lineage: Eukaryota; Metazoa; Chordata; Mammalia; Rodentia; Muridae. The record is from RNAcentral.
UAGUAGUCUUAUCCAUGCAGGAGGAA